Long non-coding RNA from Toxotes jaculatrix (banded archerfish), 1138 nucleotides. RefSeq lists it as uncharacterized. Lineage: Eukaryota; Metazoa; Chordata; Actinopteri; Toxotidae. The transcript has 4 exons. The record is from RefSeq and is a predicted model, not a curated record.
CCGACUCCUGAGAACUUCACUUUUAGUCACUUUGGCUGAAAAGCUAAGCAUGAAUGUCUGCAGAGGAAGACCAUGGGAUAUGACUGAGAGCCGAAAGAAGCACAGAACAGGCAGCAGGGUACGAUUCUUUCUUCCUGAAACGGCUCAGCCGUUUUCAGGAAACGUAUGAAUGCAUCCUCAGGUCAGGACUCAGCAGUCCACCUACACCUGAAGGACCGGGGACACUCAUCUGAGGACAGUAAGGUUCACAUUUUGUCCAGAGACGACCUACGGUCUGACAGAGGAGUGAAAGAAGCCGUUUGCAUUAAGGAGGCGUACACACCUGUAACGGUCAGCUGGACUCUCUGCUUGAAGUCCACCUUCGGGAUGUGGCACUCGUAGGUGCCGCUGUCCGACAGCUGGACGUUCUGCAGGACGAUGGAGAAGUUUCCUGACGUGUACAGAUCAGGGAAACUGUUUACUCUGCCUCUAAAGUUCUGGUUCUGAGACGCUGUAUUCUGGACACCGCUCAUGACAGUCAGCACAAUGUUGUCGUCUUUGUCCAUCCAGGAGACGUUGGGGUUCCCUGGCAGAGGGUCAGGUCCUCUGUAGAUGCAGGGCAGCAGGACACUUCCUCUGAUGAAACCCUGGACGUUCACCUGGCAGCUCACUGAGAGACAACACAAGACACAGGUCAGGGGUCUGAGGAAGCUCAGGCUGCUGAAUGUUUUUCAGCGACUGGAAAGUGGAAUCUCUCCUGGAUCUCGGUACGCCUCCACAGGGAGUAUCCAGGAAGAAAUUCCGAUGUGAUAAGACUGAGGGAAGCAGUGGGGGUCAGGCUCAGCGCAGCAGAGCUGCAGAGGAGUCCAGGAGACAGGGACCACACGGGAGGAGGCCAGAACAGUCUCUGGGAACGUCUGAUAACACAUGUGCUGGAUGCAGCUGUGCAACAACAACUCUGCCAACGACUCACAGAGGCGCCAUGAUGCUCAGGACGAGAGUCCUCAGUGAGAAGAGACGUCACCUGUACGAUGGAGUGCAACAGGUGCUGUUUUGAGUCCGAACCUGGAUAAAGUGUCGAAUCCUCACAUUCAUUUCUGUCCCUUGACGGAUCUGGAUCUCAGCAUCUCUCAGGUUCUUCCCUCAGGUUCUUCCUUCA